This 696-nucleotide long non-coding RNA is filed under the name Homo sapiens (human). RNAcentral describes it as "HSALNT0409000". The stretch from base 26 to 60 matches the Rfam family "Iron response element I". The record is from RNAcentral. Lineage: Eukaryota; Metazoa; Chordata; Mammalia; Primates; Hominidae.
AGACGUUCUUCGCCGAGAGUCGUCGAGGUUUCCUGCUUCAACUGUGCUUGGACGGAACCCGGCGCUCGUCCCCCACCCCGCCACCGCCGCCGCCUCUCCUUAGUCGCCGCCUUGACGACCGCGUCCACCUCGCAGGUGCGCCAGAACUACCACCAGGACUCAGAGGCGGCCAUCAACCGCCAGAUCAACCUGGAGCUCUACGCCUCCUACGUUUACCUGUCCAUGUCUUACUACUUUGACCACGAUGAUGUGGCUUUGAAGAACUUUGCCAAAUACUUUCUUCACCAAUCUCAUGAGGAGAGGGAACAUGCUGAGGAACUGAUGAAGCUGCAGAACCAAUGAGGUGGCCGAAUCUUCCUUCAGGAUAUCAAGAAACCAGACUGUGAUGACUGGGAGCGGGCUGAAUGAGAUGGAGUGUGCAUUACAUUUGGAAAAAAAUGUGAAUCAGUCACCACUGGAACUGCACAAACUGGCCACUGACAAAAAUGACCCCCAUUUGUGUGACUUCAUUGAGACACAUUACCUGAAUGAGCAGGUGAAAGCUAAUUUCCCCAUAGCCGUGGGUUGACUUCCCUGGUCACCAAGGCAGUGCAUGCAUGUUGGGGUUUCCUUUACCUUUUCUAUAAAUUGUACCAAAACAUCCACUUAAGUUCUUUGAUUUGUACCAUUCCUGCAAAUAAAGAAAUUUGGUACCCC